UCUCGAAGGUGCUCUGAACAAACUAGCAGAGAAUCAUUCAGAAAAGUUCAAAAUUGCUAUCGCAAACAUCAAAUAUCUUGAAGAACAGGAGACCAAAGAGGACGGCCAUUGGUACACAGUUUUAGUGGUGCUCGGAAAUGGUGCUACAGCUUGAGAAAGCCAAAAAGGAUUCGUUAAAGAAGAUUGAAUUCG
Non-coding RNA from Styela clava, 192 nucleotides. Lineage: Eukaryota; Metazoa; Chordata; Ascidiacea; Stolidobranchia; Styelidae. The record is from RefSeq and is a predicted model, not a curated record.